This 73-nucleotide transfer RNA is filed under the name Camelus bactrianus (Bactrian camel). It matches the Rfam family "tRNA". From Rfam's summary of the family: Transfer RNA (tRNA) molecules are approximately 80 nucleotides in length. Their secondary structure includes four short double-helical elements and three loops (D, anti-codon, and T loops). Lineage: Eukaryota; Metazoa; Chordata; Mammalia; Artiodactyla; Camelidae. RNAcentral also lists the same sequence under 3 other names. The record is from Rfam by way of RNAcentral.
GAGGAUAUAGCUCAAGUGGUAGAGUGUGUAUUUAGCAUGCAUAAGGUCCUGGGUUCAAUCCCCAGUGUCUCCU